RNAcentral lists this ribosomal RNA (429 nucleotides) under Bacteroidota bacterium. Its description in RNAcentral is "Bacteroidetes bacterium partial 16S ribosomal RNA". It matches the Rfam family "Bacterial small subunit ribosomal RNA", at positions 355 to 776 of the family's 1533-position model. Lineage: Bacteria; Pseudomonadati; Bacteroidota. The record is from RNAcentral.
UAGGGAAUCUUCCGCAAUGGACGCAAGUCUGACGGAGCAACGCCGCGUGAGUGAAGAAGGAUUUCGGUUCGUAAAACUCUGUUGUUAGAGAAGAACAGCGCAUAGAGUAACUGUUAUGCGUGUGACGGUAUCUAACCAGAAAGCCACGGCUAACUACGUGCCAGCAGCCGCGGUAAAACAUAGGGGGCAAGCGUUGUCCGGAAUCACUGGGCGUAAAGGGCGCGCAGGCGGUCUGUUAAGUCAGAUGUGAAAGGUUAGGGCUCAACCCUGAACGUGCAUCUGAUACUGGCAGACUUGAGUAUGGAAGAGGUAAGUGGAAUUCCUAGUGUAGCGGUGAAAUGCGUAGAUAUUAGGAGGAACACCAGUGGCGAAGGCGACUUACUGGGCCAUAACUGACGCUGAGGCGCGAAAGCGUGGGGAGCAAACAGG